UCUCUGCGUGGUAGGGGAGCGUUCUGUAAGUCUGCGAAGGAGUCUUGAGAAGGAUUCUGGAGAUAUCAGAAGUGCGAAUGCUGACAUGAGUAACGUUAAAGCGGGUGAAAAGCCCGCUCGCCGUAAGCCCAAGGUUUCCUGCUCUACGUUCAUCGGAGCAGGGUGAGUCGGCCCCUAAGGCGAGGCCAAAAGGCGUAGUCGAUGGGAAUCGGGUUAAUAUUCCCGAACCGCCGCCGAAUGCGAUGGGGUGACGGAGUUUAGAAGGUCAGCCGGGUGUUGGAUGUCCCGGUGGGUGAGUGUAGGAGGUCUGCAGGCAAAUCCGCAGACGCAUCUCCGAGGCAAAGCCGCGAUCUGCUAAGGCAGAGAAGUGAUUGGACGAACUUCCAAGAAAACCCUCUAAGCGUCAGUUCGGCGGGACCGUACCGCAAACCGACACUGGUGGGCGAGCUGAAUAUGCUCAGGCGCUUGAGAGAACUCGGGAGAAGGAACUCGGCAAAUUGACACCGUAACUUCGGAAGAAGGUGUGCCUGAGUAACGUAGGCGCAGAGACUGCGUUCGCGUGAAAAGGUCUCAGAGAAUAGGUGGCUGCGACUGUUUAUUAAAAACACAGCACUCUGCCAAGUCGAAAGACGACGUAUAGGGUGUGAUGCCUGCCCGGUGCUGGAAGAUUAAUUGAUGGGCUGAGAGGCCUUGAUCGAAGUCCCAGUAAACGGCGGCCGUAACUAUAACGGUCCUAAGGUAGCGAAAUUCCUUGUCGGGUAAGUUCCGACCUGCACGAAUGGCAUAACGAUGGCCACACUGUCUCCUCCCGAGACUCAGUGAAGUUGAAAUGUUUGUGAUGAUGCAAUCUACCCGCGGCUAGACGGAAAGACCCCAUGAACCUUUACUGCAGCUUUGCAUUGAACUGUGAACCGAUUUGUGUAGGAUAGGUGGGAGGCAGAGAAACGUGUACGCCAGUACGCGCGGAGCCAACCUUGAAAUACCACCCUGAUUUGUUUGCGGUUCUAACCCGGGACAGUGAUCCUGUUCGGGGACCGUGCAUGGUAGGCAGUUUGACUGGGGCGGUCUCCUCCUAAAGGGUAACGGAGGAGUACGAAGGUACGCUAGGUACGGUCGGAAAUCGUGCUGAUAGUGCAAUGGCAAAAGCGUGCUUGACUGCGAGAGCAACAACUCGAGCAGAUGCGAAAGCAGGUCAUAGUGAUCCGGUGGCUCUGAAUGGAAGGGCCAUCGCUCAACGGAUAAAAGGUACUCUGGGGAUAACAGGCUGAUACCGCCCAAGAGUUCAUAUCGACGGCGGUGUUUGGCACCUCGAUGUCGGCUCAUCUCAUCCUGGGGCUGUAGUCGGUCCCAAGGGUAUGGCUGUUCGCCAUUUAAAGAGGUACGUGAGCUGGGUUUAAAACGUCGUGAGACAGUUUGGUCCCUAUCUGCCGUGGGCGUUGGAAGAUUGACGGGGGCUGCUCCUAGUACGAGAGGACCGGAGUGGACGCACCUCUGGUGUACCGGUUGUCACGCCAGUGGCAUUGCCGGGUAGCUAAGUGCGGACGAGAUAACCGCUGAAAGCAUCUAAGCGGGAAACUUUCCUGAAGAUAAGUCUUCCCGGAGGUAAAACCUCCCUGAAGAGUCGUCCGAGACCAGGACGUCGAUAGGUCAGGUGUGUAAGCGCUGUGAGGCGUUGAGCUAACUGAUACUAAUUGCUCGUGAGGCUUGAUCCUAUAACC
Molecule: ribosomal RNA, 1718 nt
Filed under: Parasutterella muris
Lineage: Bacteria; Pseudomonadati; Pseudomonadota; Betaproteobacteria; Burkholderiales; Sutterellaceae
Description: Parasutterella sp. NM82_D38 partial 23S ribosomal RNA
Rfam family: Bacterial large subunit ribosomal RNA
Source: RNAcentral